RNAcentral lists this ribosomal RNA (253 nucleotides) under uncultured prokaryote. Its description in RNAcentral is "partial 16S ribosomal RNA". It matches the Rfam family "Bacterial small subunit ribosomal RNA", at positions 524 to 776 of the family's 1533-position model. The record is from RNAcentral.
GACGUACCACCCGAACGUUAUUCGGAUUCACUGGGCUUACAGAGUCCGUAGGCGGUGGAGAAAGUUAGGCGUGAAAUCCCUCAGCUCAACUGAGGAAUAGCGCUUAAAACUACUUCGCUAGAGAGAGUCAGAGGUAUGCGGAACUGAUGGUGGAGCGGUGAAAUGCGUUGAUAUCAUCAGGAACACCGGUGGCGAAAGCGGCAUACUGGGGCUUUUCUGACGCUGAGGGACGAAAGCUAGGGGAGCGAACGGG